This 500-nucleotide long non-coding RNA is filed under the name Drosophila guanche. Lineage: Eukaryota; Metazoa; Arthropoda; Insecta; Diptera; Drosophilidae. The record is from RNAcentral.
GAAUCGUUUAUUCAUCUGUACGUGUGAAGCUACAUUCUCAUUUCCCGCAUACAAUAACAAUGAUUCACAGAAUAUCGAAUCGAUUUAGAUAUUUGAGCGAGUCCUGCGCUCGGAGCUUUUCGGCUGUGUCAGCUAUGAGCCACGAUUCAUGCCAAAUGAUUCAACGUGUGAACAAAGCGUGAUUCCUCACAUCAGAAUCAGCGUCUAAAUCGACCUUAGCGUAGUGCGAAUGAAAUGUUACGUCAUUUGAUAAUUUGCUGCUAGUCAACUGGUGUACACCCUAUGUCUAUUGAUUAAAAUUAAUAUACAUAUUCUGUUUUCCAAGCUUCUUUUAUGAUAAAACCUAUUUAUAUACCUUUCAUGUAUAUGAAUUUCGCUAUCGAUACAGUCUGGGUACCUGUAAUUUGGAAAAUUUCGUAAAACACGAUAUUCGAUAUUCGGUCUGGCAGCUUUUUGUCGUUUUUAAAUCUGUCCUAGCCGUUGGAAACGGCCUUUCUUCC